GGGAACUAGUGGUAAAAGGACCUAAAUGGUGGAGGGGGUGGUGGGCAGGGUAGGGGUAAGGGACGAACCCUCGACGUAGGGAGGGUUCGCAAGGCCUGCCUUGCUCUCCUCAUGCCCACGCUUGUGUUGGUGGCUACGAGAAGCUGACAUCUAUUGGACAGACUCAAUUGUGGGGUCCAGAAGGUCACAACGACCAUCAUGCUCAAAGCUGUGAUCCUCAUUGGAGGAAGCCACCUCAUAGGGAGCCAUGUGUGUGGCUGGGGACACCUGGCCUCCCUCCCCACCCCCAAAUAAACCCCUGUGAACCUUG
Molecule: long non-coding RNA, 310 nt
Filed under: Rattus norvegicus (Norway rat)
Lineage: Eukaryota; Metazoa; Chordata; Mammalia; Rodentia; Muridae
Description: long non-coding RNA NONRATT029544
Source: RNAcentral